Molecule: ribosomal RNA, 200 nt
Filed under: uncultured bacterium
Lineage: Bacteria
Description: partial 16S ribosomal RNA
Rfam family: Bacterial small subunit ribosomal RNA
Source: RNAcentral
AUUGAACGCUGGCGGCAUGCUUUACACAUGCAAGUCGAACGGUAACGCGGGGGCAACCCUGGCGACGAGUGGCGAACGGGUGAGUAAUACAUCGGAACGUGCCCAGUAGUGGGGGAUAGCUCGGCGAAAGCCGGAUUAAUACCGCAUACGACCUACGGGUGAAAGCGGGGGAUCGCAAGACCUCGCGCUAUUGGAGCGGC